GUGUUGUCUUCUUUUUUUUUUUGCCACUGCUAUCAUGUGCUGCUGUUACUUUGAAAAUUUAUUUUUUUUUAAUCCUAGGAGAUUGCCAUGAAGAAGGCAAAUGAGAAAGCACUCGUGUCAAGUGACAUAAAACUCACGUUUGGCUACCAGGAGAAAGCUCUGACUCCAGGAGCUGAAAUCUAUAAAGCUGGACCUCUGGUGAUGACCUGGGGAGUAGUUACCAGGUUUAUUGAGCUGGUGUAUUAGAUUUCCUGCUGCAUGAGCAAGAAGAUUAUGGUGGCUUACGUCUAAGUGUACUUUUGGGAGACAUUUUGUAUUUUCUCUAUAAAUAGUCUUUCUAAAACACAAUUUUGAAACUAUUAAUGUUUAUAUCGCAUUAUACAUCUCUCUAAGUUUACUGUCCUGAGUAUACAGUAUGGUUGCAAGAGGAAAUCUUUUUGUCUAGGAAACGUGUUUAGAAUUGUCAUUGUUAAAAGGCUGCUAAAAGGUAGGUUUGCUACUAAAAGGCAGGUUUGUUAUAUUUAUCUUUUUAUCCUUGUGGUAUUUUUGGCUUAUUACACAGAGUCGUUCCUGUUUUCAACAACAGUAAAAUUACAUCUCUUCGGGAGUUAAGCACUUCAGUAGAAAUUGCAAAUGUUUAGUUCCUAGUAGAAUUGUGGGCAUCCUGGCUAUUCCAUUUGUGUCAGAAAAAUGUCAAAGGAGUCAAUUGAAAUUAUGAGCUCUUCACAGAUAAAACUUAGACUUGAGGUUGAAUGUUGAACUUGUAUUUUACACUGUAUAAACUCUUCUUUUCACCUUAACCAAAGGAAUGCAGUUAUUAUAGAAUUUAAAGAAAGAAACCCUGGAAAG
Molecule: long non-coding RNA, 849 nt
Filed under: Numida meleagris (helmeted guineafowl)
Lineage: Eukaryota; Metazoa; Chordata; Aves; Galliformes; Numididae
Description: lncRNA (ENSNMEG00000022236.1)
Source: RNAcentral